AACGAACGCUGGCGGCAUGCCUAACACAUGCAAGUCGAACAAAGCCUUCGGGCUUAGUGGCGCACGGGUGCGUAACGCGUGGGAAUCUGCCCUUGGGUUCGGAAUAACAGUUAGAAAUGACUGCUAAUACCGAAUGAUGUCUUCGGACCAAAGAUUUAUCGCCCAAGGAUGAGCCCGCGUCGGAUUAGCUAGUUGGUGAGGUAAAGGCUCACCAAGGCGACGAUCCGUAGCUGGUCUGAGAGGAUGAUCAGCCACACUGGGACUGAGACACGGCCCAGACUCCUACGGGAGGCAGCAGUGGGAAUAUUGGACAAUGGGCGAAAGCCUGAUCCAGCAAUGCCGCGUGAGUGAUGAAGGCCUUAGGGUUGUAAAGCUCUUUUACCCGGGAUGAUAAUGACAGUACCGGGAGAAUAAGCCCCCGGCUAACUCCGUGCCAGCAGCCGCGGUAAU
RNAcentral lists this ribosomal RNA (450 nucleotides) under uncultured bacterium. RNAcentral describes it as "bacterial SSU rRNA". It matches the Rfam family "Bacterial small subunit ribosomal RNA", at positions 29 to 524 of the family's 1533-position model. The record is from RNAcentral.